Trichomycterus rosablanca is the source of this 313-nucleotide long non-coding RNA. RefSeq lists it as uncharacterized. The record is from RefSeq and is a predicted model, not a curated record. Lineage: Eukaryota; Metazoa; Chordata; Actinopteri; Siluriformes; Trichomycteridae. The transcript has 3 exons.
UUUUCUGUCAUUUUAAACAAUAAUCCGUCUUUGGUAAUAGUACAGUUUGCAUUAUAUCUAACACAAAUACUAGUUUUUUUUUAUCACUCAGACAGAAAGACGUCUUUAUAUCAUCAGUAACAGUUACCGUGAGGCAUGUCUAAGUAGCCUACUGAAGUGGACUAAAGCAAAACAGAGCCCCAAAACAGUCCAGGGAAGAAAACUUCAGCCCAAGAUGUGGAUUCCAGCAAAUGUAAAACAAAGCACUUGCACAUUUUUGUUUUUGUUCAGAACAGCUGUGUUUAUAAAAAUAUGAAUUUAUUUAUUUAAUUAU